Molecule: unclassified non-coding RNA, 385 nt
Filed under: uncultured Phycisphaeraceae bacterium
Lineage: Bacteria; Pseudomonadati; Planctomycetota; Phycisphaerae; Phycisphaerales; Phycisphaeraceae
Description: contains 16S-23S intergenic spacer region
Source: RNAcentral
UCCGGUUUGACACCGGCAGUCUCGCUAGAGUCCUCGCCAUUACGCGUUAGCAACUAGCGACAGGGGUUGCGCUCGUUAAGGGACUUAACCCGACACUUCACAGCACGAGCUGACGACAGCCAUGCAGCACCUGUGUACGUUCCACUCUUGCGAGUGUCAUUACUGUUUCCAAUAACUAAUCCGUACAUGUCAAACCCAGGUAAGGUUCUUCGCGUUGCUUCGAAUUAAGCAACAUGCUCCACCGCUUGUGUGAGCCCCCGUCAAUUCCUUUGAGUUUUAAUCUUGCGACCGUACUCCCCAGGCGGUGCACUUAACAAUUUCUCUCCGACCGGUACCGGGUGAAACCGGCACCGAUCUAGUGCACAUCGUUUACAGCGUGGACUAC